AUGGUUAAGUUAGAAAGGGCGCACGGUGGAUGCCUUGGCACUAGGAGCCGAUGAAGGACGGGACGAACACCGAUAUGCUUCGGGGAGCUGUAAGCAAGCUUUGAUCCGGAGAUUUCCGAAUGGGGAAACCCACUGCUCGUAAUGGAGUAGUAUCCAUACUUGAAUACAUAGAGUAUGAGAAGGCAUACCCGGGGAACUGAAACAUCUAAGUACCCGGAGGAAGAGAAAGCAAAUGCGAUUCCCUGAGUAGCGGCGAGCGAAACGGGAACAGCCCAAACCAAGAGGCUUGCCUCUUGGGGUUGUAGGACACUCUAUACGGAGUUACAAAGGAACGAUAUAAGCGAAGAGGUCUGGAAAGGCCCGCCAAAGAAGGUAACAGCCCUGUAACUGAAAUGUUGUUCUCUCCAGAGUGGAUCCUGAGUACGGCGGAACACGUGAAAUUCCGUCGGAAUCCGGGAGGACCAUCUCCCAAGGCUAAAUACUCCCUAGUGACCGAUAGUGAACCAGUACCGUGAGGGAAAGGUGAAAAGCACCCCGGAAGGGGAGUGAAAUAGAUCCUGAAACCGUGUGCCUACAAGUAGUCAGAGCCCGUUAAAGGGUGAUGGCGUGCCUUUUGUAGAAUGAACCGGCGAGUUACGAUCCCGUGCAAGGUUAAGCAGAAGAUGCGGAGCCGCAGCGAAAGCGAGUCUGAAUAGGGCGCAUGAGUACGUGGUCGUAGACCCGAAACCAGGUGAUCUACCCAUGUCCAGGGUGAAGUUCAGGUAACACUGAAUGGAGGCCCGAACCCACGCACGUUGAAAAGUGCGGGGAUGAGGUGUGGGUAGGGGUGAAAUGCCAAUCGAACCUGGAGAUAGCUGGUUCUCUCCGAAAUAGCUUUAGGGCUAGCCUCAAGGUAAGAGUCUCGGAGGUAGAGCACUGAUUGGACUAGGGGCCCCUACCGGGUUACCGAAUUCAGUCAAACUCCGAAUGCCGAUGACUUAUCCUUGGGAGUCAGACUGCGAGUGAUAAGAUCCGUAGUCGAAAGGGAAACAGCCCAGACCGCCAGCUAAGGUCCCAAAGUAUACGUUAAGUGGAAAAGGAUGUGGAGUUGCUUAGACAACCAGGAUGUUGGCUUAGAAGCAGCCACCAUUUAAAGAGUGCGUAAUAGCUCACUGGUCGAGUGACUCUGCGCCGAAAAUGUACCGGGGCUAAACGUAUCACCGAAGCUGCGGACUGUUCUUACGAACAGUGGUAGGAGAGCGUUCUAAGUGCUGUGAAGUCAGACCGGAAGGACUGGUGGAGCGCUUAGAAGUGAGAAUGCCGGUAUGAGUAGCGAAAGACGGGUGAGAAUCCCGUCCACCGAAUGCCUAAGGUUUCCUGAGGAAGGCUCGUCCGCUCAGGGUUAGUCGGGACCUAAGCCGAGGCCGAAAGGCGUAGGCGAUGGACAACAGGUUGAUAUUCCUGUACCACCUCCUCACCAUUUGAGCAAUGGGGGGACGCAGGAGGAUAGGGUAAGCGCGGUAUUGGAUAUCCGCGUCCAAGCAGUUAGGCUGGGAAAUAGGCAAAUCCGUUUCCC
This 1555-nucleotide ribosomal RNA is filed under the name Bacillus pumilus. Its description in RNAcentral is "partial 23S ribosomal RNA". It matches the Rfam family "Bacterial large subunit ribosomal RNA", at positions 1 to 1550 of the family's 2925-position model. The record is from RNAcentral. Lineage: Bacteria; Bacillati; Bacillota; Bacilli; Caryophanales; Bacillaceae.